CAGCAAGAGAAAAUUGGCUGCAGUGCAAAGAAGCCAGGCUCAAAAGGCAGGGUUAUCCCAUUUCUAUGACAUGUCACAGGCCCAGCCAACUACUUUAAUUUUUUAAAAAAGAUAUUAAAACCAGAAAGCAGGUGGUUGCUGGAGACUGGGAGGAGGGGGAAGGAGUGACUGCUUCAUGGAGUCAUUUUGGAGUGACGGACAUGUUUUGGAACCAGGUAGGCUGUGUAACACUGUGAAUGUAUGAAGUGCCAUUGAAUUGUUCACUGUAAAAUUCCAAGAAAACCUGCAGACUCCUGCCUUUCUGUGAAGAGUUCGUGUCCACUGUCAUCGUGGGGUGAGCUGUGAUUCUGCCUUCUGCUCUGGCCUCAGUCCCCAAGCACCCAGCACUGUGAGCAUGAGGCAUAGGAGGGGACCACGGUGUAAAUCGAUCUCUGGUCACGGAAGAGUGAAGGAUUUAAAGGACCAUGGCCUAGCCUGGGCAACAUGGCAAAACCCUGCCUCUACAAUAAAAUAUAAAAAAGUCAGCCGGGCCCAGGCCAGGCACGGUGGCUCAC
This 554-nucleotide long non-coding RNA is filed under the name Homo sapiens (human). RNAcentral's name for it is "non-protein coding lnc-GLIS2-1:2". Lineage: Eukaryota; Metazoa; Chordata; Mammalia; Primates; Hominidae. The record is from RNAcentral.